CGGUGAAGUGUUCGGAUCGC
Molecule: non-coding RNA, 20 nt
Filed under: Arabidopsis thaliana (thale cress)
Lineage: Eukaryota; Viridiplantae; Streptophyta; Magnoliopsida; Brassicales; Brassicaceae
Source: RNAcentral